GUUAAACUUCACCAGAGAGGAAACUUCCUGCAUGUGGUUGGUUUUGCUGCCUAGAGAUGCGUCGGGCUCUCUGUUUCUUAGCCUGCAAAAGGGUGCAUUUCAGUUUUAGGCUGUAAGGGCAGCCAUCCCUAAGGUUCCAUAGCCUGCUACUUUAUUUGAUCAUUUGACUCUUGAAAGCAUUAAAACUAUAAGAGCUCUAGUCGUCGACUCUUCUGC
This 216-nucleotide unclassified non-coding RNA is filed under the name Hevea brasiliensis (rubber tree). Lineage: Eukaryota; Viridiplantae; Streptophyta; Magnoliopsida; Malpighiales; Euphorbiaceae. The record is from RNAcentral.